This 585-nucleotide ribosomal RNA is filed under the name uncultured bacterium. Its description in RNAcentral is "partial 16S ribosomal RNA". It matches the Rfam family "Bacterial small subunit ribosomal RNA", at positions 355 to 1375 of the family's 1533-position model. The record is from RNAcentral.
UGGGGAAUUUUGGACAAUGGGCGAAAGCCUGAUCCAGCAAUGCCGCGUGUGUGAAGAAGGCCUUCGGGUUGUAAAGCACUUUUGUCCGGAAAGAAAUCCUUGGCUCUAAUACAGUCGGGGGAUGACGGUACCGGAAGAAUAAGCACCGGCUAACUACGUGCCAGCAGCCGCGGUAAUACGUAGGGUGCAAGCGUUAAUCGGAAUUACUGGGCGUAAAGCGUGCGCAGGCGGUUUGCUAAGACCGAUGUGAAAUCCCCGGGCUCAACCUGGGAACUGCAUUGGUGACUGGCAGGCUAGAGUAUGGCAGAGGGGGGUAGAAUUCCACGUGUAGCAGUGAAAUGCGUAGAGAUGUGGAGGAAUACCGAUGGCGAAGGCAGCCCCCUGGGCCAAUACUGACGCUCAUGCACGAAAGCGUGGGGAGCAAACAGGAUUAGAUACCCUGGUAGUCCACGCCCUAAACGAUGUCAACUAGUUGUUGGGGAUUCAUUUCCUUAGUAACGUAGCUAACGCGUGAAGUUGACCGCCUGGGGAGUACGGUCGCAGGAUUAAAACUCAAAGGAAUUGACGGGGUCAUAGCUGUUUCCU